CCUACGGGAGGCUGCAGUCGAGAAUCAUUCACAAUGGGGGAAACCCUGAUGGUGCGACGCCGCGUGGGGGAAUGAAGGUCUUCGGAUUGUAAACCCCUGUCAUGUGGGAGCAAAUUAAAAAGAUAGUACCACAAGAGGAAGAGACGGCUAACUCUGUGCCAGCAGCCGCGGUAAUACAGAGGUCUCAAGCGUUGUUCGGAAUCACUGGGCGUAAAGCGUGCGUAGGCUGUUUCGUAAGUCGUGUGUGAAAGGCGCGGGCUCAACCCGCGGACGGCACAUGAUACUGCGAGACUAGAGUAAGGGAGGGGGAACCGGAAGUCUCGGGGUAGCAGUGAAAUGCGUAGAUAUCGAGAGGAACACUCGUGGCGAAGGCGGGUGCCUGGACAUUAACUGACGCUGAGGCACGAAGGCCAGGGGAGCGAAAGGGAUUAGAUACCCGGGUAGUC
RNAcentral lists this ribosomal RNA (446 nucleotides) under uncultured bacterium. Its description in RNAcentral is "partial 16S ribosomal RNA". It matches the Rfam family "Bacterial small subunit ribosomal RNA", at positions 338 to 795 of the family's 1533-position model. The record is from RNAcentral.